AGAGUUUGAUCAUGGCUCAGAUUGAACGCUGGCGGCAUGCCUUACACAUGCAAGUCGAACGCGAAAGCGGGGCAACCCGCAAGUAGAGUGGCGAACGGGUGAGUAAUACAUCGGAACAUAUCCAGUAGCGGGGGAUAACCUGUCGAAAGAUAGGCUAAUACCGCAUACGAUCUACGGAUGAAAGCAGGGGACCGCAAGGCCUUGCACUAUUGGAGUGGCCGAUGUCAGAUUAGCUAGUUGGUGGGGUAAAAGCCUACCAAGGCGACGAUCUGUAGCUGGUCUGAGAGGACGAUCAGCCACACUGGAACUGAGACACGGUCCAGACUCCUACGGGAGGCAGCAGUGGGGAAUUUUGGACAAUGGGCGCAAGCCUGAUCCAGCCAUGCCGCGUGAGUGAAGAAGGCCUUCGGGUUGUAAAGCUCUUUCGGUGAAGACGAAACGGUUAGCGCUAAUAACGCUGACUAAUGACGGUACUCACAGAAGAAGCACCGGCUAACUACGUGCCAGCAGCCGCGGUAAUACGUAGGGUGCAGGCGUUAAUCGGAAUUACUGGGCGUAAAGCGUGCGCAGGCGGUCUUGUAAGACAGGUGUGAAAUCCCCGGGCUUAACCUGGGAACUGCACUUGUGACUGCAAGGCUGGAGUACGGCAGAGGGGGAUGGAAUUCCGCGUGUAGCAGUGAAAUGCGUAGAUAUGCGGAGGAACACCGAUGGCGAAGACAAUCCCCUGGGCCUGUACUGACGCUCAUGCACGAAAGCGUGGGGAGCGAACAGGAUUAGAUACCCCGGUAGUCC
RNAcentral lists this ribosomal RNA (792 nucleotides) under uncultured bacterium. RNAcentral describes it as "bacterial SSU rRNA". It matches the Rfam family "Bacterial small subunit ribosomal RNA", at positions 8 to 796 of the family's 1533-position model. The record is from RNAcentral.